Molecule: ribosomal RNA, 254 nt
Filed under: uncultured bacterium
Lineage: Bacteria
Description: partial 16S ribosomal RNA
Rfam family: Bacterial small subunit ribosomal RNA
Source: RNAcentral
UACAGAGGGGGCAAGCGUUGUUCGGAAUUACUGGGCGUAAAGGGCUCGUAGGCGGCCAACUAAGUCAGACGUGAAAUCCCCCGGCUUAACCAGGGAACUGCGUCUGAUACUGGAUGGCUUGAGUUUGGGAGAGGGAUGCGGAAUUCUAGGUGUAGCGGUGAAAUGCGUAGAUAUCUGGAGGAACACCGGUGGCGAAGGCGACAUCCUGGACCAACACUGACGCUGAGUGAGCGAAAGCCAGGGGAGCAAACGGG